CAAAACGUAGCUUACUCAAAAGCAUCUGGCUUACACCCAGAAGACAUCACCCAAUGAUCGUUUUGA
RNAcentral lists this transfer RNA (66 nucleotides) under Tupaia gracilis (slender tree shrew). Its description in RNAcentral is "tRNA-Val". It matches the Rfam family "tRNA". Rfam says of the family: Transfer RNA (tRNA) molecules are approximately 80 nucleotides in length. Their secondary structure includes four short double-helical elements and three loops (D, anti-codon, and T loops). Lineage: Eukaryota; Metazoa; Chordata; Mammalia; Scandentia; Tupaiidae. The record is from RNAcentral.